AUCCAGCUGAAAAGUCUCAAAUAGAAUGAAACGCGCGUCUUGGAU
Non-coding RNA from Schistosoma mansoni, 45 nucleotides. Lineage: Eukaryota; Metazoa; Platyhelminthes; Trematoda; Strigeidida; Schistosomatidae. The record is from Rfam.